Molecule: ribosomal RNA, 383 nt
Filed under: uncultured bacterium
Lineage: Bacteria
Description: bacterial SSU rRNA
Rfam family: Bacterial small subunit ribosomal RNA
Source: RNAcentral
GAUGAACGCUAGCGGCAGGCCUAAUACAUGCAAGUCGAGGGGUAACAGGGGUAGUAAUAUCUGCUGACGACCGGCGCACGGGUGCGUAACACGUAUACAAUCUGCCUUUAACAGGGGGAUAGCCCGGAGAAAUCCGGAUUAAUACCCCAUAACAAUGGAAGAAGCAUUUCUUCUAUUUAAAAGCUCAGGCGGUUAGAGAUGAGUAUGCGUCUGAUUAGCUAGUUGGUAAGGAACGGCUUACCAAGGCAACGAUCAGUAGGGGAUCUGAGAGGAUUAACCCCCACACGGAUACUGAGACACGGAUCCGACUCCUACGGGAGGCAGCAGUAAGGAAUAUUGGACAAUGCCCGACAAGGGUGAUCCAGCCAUGCCGCGUGCAGGAA